Molecule: long non-coding RNA, 1089 nt
Filed under: Olea europaea subsp. europaea
Lineage: Eukaryota; Viridiplantae; Streptophyta; Magnoliopsida; Lamiales; Oleaceae
Source: RNAcentral
UCACAGUUUAUUCUUCGGUCACAAAUAAAAAAAUUAAUUAAUCACGGAUUAAUUUUUAGUCACAACUUAUCAAAUUAUUGGUCACAGCUUACUUUUCGAUCACAAAACAAAAAAUUUAAGGUCACAAAUUGCGUUUAUGGUCACAAUUCAAAAAUUUUGUAAGUCACGAUUUGUUUGUCACAGAUAAAAAAUUUAUACGUUAUAAGUUAUUUAUAAGUCACAGAUAACAACUAUUACAAGUCACGGAUUAAUUUUUUUUUUUUUAGGUCACACACUAUUCUUGGUCACAAUUUAUCUUUUUAGUGGUCACAUAUUGUUUAUUAGUCAAUGGUUAAUCAAUUUAAUAGUCACAAUCAAUUAAAUAAUCUAUGACCAUCAACAAACCUCCGUUACCUCUACAGCACCACCACCACAACCACACCAACACCAUUGUCACCAUCGCAGCACCACAACCAUCACCACUACCAUCUCACCAUCAUGGCAGACCAACCACAGAACUCCACAAAUCCACCACACAACCACUAAUCCACCACAAAAUCGUUCCCACAGAACCAUUCCCACAAAUCCACACAACCACCGUCCCCACCACAGAACCGCACGCCUCCACCACCACUGCUCAUCACCACUCACCCAACCACCACAUCACCGUUGCACCUACAACAACCCAGUAUGGCAAUACCCUAUUACCACCACAAUUCACACUAUACCGCCACCACCCCCAACGAAACCAUUACAUUGUUCCACUCCAAAGAAUCGAAGCGGGUGCAAACCACUGCUUGGCAUCCCUGCCCUUCCAAAUUCACCACCGUCGCGCAAUCAACGCCCGUAGCACCUCCACUGCUUCACAUCGCAACGAAUCGAGGCGAUUGCAAACCACCUCUUCACAUCGCUGCCAGAUCGCUUCAGCCAUCGGGCGAGGGACUUGCACCAACCACAUCUUCACAUCGCGACGAAGCUGGAUUGGUCUAUCGCAGGAGUUCGUAGCCGACAUAAGUGUUGAUGUAGAGAGAGAUGUAGGACAGCCUCUUGGGUAGAGAGAGAGAGUGAAGUGUUUAUGAAGAUGAUUAGGGUUUGUAAUGUAUAUAAUGG